GAUUUCUGGUGAAUCGAACUUGGCCGGCCACGGUUUCGUGUGUUAGUGCUUUGUUUUUUCGCCAUCCUUCCAAUGGCUAUUCAUCCUUCUUCAUUGAGGUGGUGAGUGGUAUUGGAUCUUUUACUUUGAAAAAAUUAGAGUGUUUCAAGCAGGCUUUAUGCUAUGAAUACAUUAGCAUGGAAUAAUAAUUUAGGACUUCGGUUCUAUUUUGUUGGUUUCUAGGACUGAAGUAAUGAUUGAUAGGGAUAGUUGGGGGUGCUAGUAUUCAGCGGCCAGAGGUGAAAUUCUCGGAUUCGCUGAAGACUAACUUAUGCGAAAGCAUU
RNAcentral lists this ribosomal RNA (323 nucleotides) under uncultured Eocercomonas. RNAcentral's name for it is "bacterial SSU rRNA". It matches the Rfam family "Eukaryotic small subunit ribosomal RNA", at positions 632 to 955 of the family's 1831-position model. Lineage: Eukaryota; Cercozoa; Cercomonadida; Cercomonadidae. The record is from RNAcentral.